CACAAUACCGAAGCUACGGGUAGAAAUACGUUAGAGGAGCGUUCUAAGGGCCUUGAAGCUAGACCGUAAGGACUAGUGGAGCGCUUAGAAGUGAGAAUGCCGGUAUGAGUAACGAUUCAAAGUGAGAAUCUUUGACGCCUAUUGGGGAAGGUUUCCUGGGCAAGGUUCGUCCACCCAGGGUUAGUCGGGUCCUAAGACGAGGCCGAAGGGCGUAGCCGAUGGACAACAGGUUAAUAUUCCUGUACUUUCUUGAGAGUGAUGUAGUGACGGGGAAGGAUAGUUUUACCACUCAUUGGAUUGUGGGGUAAGUGAUAACUGGGUGUUGUUGGCAAAUCCGCAACACAUUAACCGGGAGUUACAAUGCAUAGUGAAAGGGCAACCAAGUAGCGAAUUAAAUGAU
RNAcentral lists this ribosomal RNA (400 nucleotides) under Malacoplasma penetrans. RNAcentral's name for it is "bacterial LSU rRNA". It matches the Rfam family "Bacterial large subunit ribosomal RNA", at positions 1187 to 1603 of the family's 2925-position model. Lineage: Bacteria; Bacillati; Mycoplasmatota; Mycoplasmoidales; Mycoplasmoidaceae. The record is from RNAcentral.